This 870-nucleotide ribosomal RNA is filed under the name uncultured bacterium. RNAcentral describes it as "bacterial SSU rRNA". It matches the Rfam family "Bacterial small subunit ribosomal RNA", at positions 1 to 862 of the family's 1533-position model. The record is from RNAcentral.
UUUAGAGUUUGGUUCUUGGGUUAAGGAAGAACGGUUACGGGAGGGUUUAAACACAUGCAAGUUGGAAGGGGGUAAACAGAAGGUAGCAAAUUCUUGUUGAGGACGGGCGUCGGGGUGAGUUAACGCGUAUGCAACCUGCCCUAUACAGGAGGAUAGCCCGAAGAAAAUUCGGAUUAAUAUUCCAUGCAGCAUAUUUUUCGCAUGAUAAAUAUGUUAAAGAUUUAUCGGUAUAGGAUGGGCAUGCGUCCCAUUAGUUAGUUGGUGAGGUAAUGGCUCACCAAGGCUUCGAUGGGUAUGGGGUCUAAAAGGAUGGUCCCACACACUGGCACUGAGACACGGGCCAGACUCCUACGGGAGGCAGCAGUGAGGAAUAUUGGUCAAUGGGCGAGAGCCUGAACCAGCCAUCCCGCGUGCAGGAUGACAGUCCUAGUGAUUGUAAACUGCUUUUCUAUAAGAUGAAUAAGGACUACGUGUAGUUCGAUGACCGUAUUAUAGGAAUAAGCAUCGGCUAACUCCGUGCCAGCAGCCGCGGUAAUACGGAGGAUGCAAGCGUUAUCCGGAUUUAUUAGGUUUAAAGGGUGCGUAGGUGGGCGUUUAAGUCAGUGGUUAAAGCCAAUAGCUUAACUAUUGUAUGCCAUUGAAACUGGAUGUCUUGAAUAGGGUAGAGGUAGGCGGAAUGUGUUGUGUAGCGGUGAAAUGCUUAGAUAUAACACAGAACACCGAUUGCGAAGGCAGCUUACUAUGCCUUUAUUGACACUGAUGCACGAAAGCGUGGGGAUCAAACAGGAUUAGAUACCCUGGUAGUCCACGCUGUAAACGAUGAUCACUCGUUUUUGGCAAUACAUCGUCAGAGACUAAGCGAAAGCAUUA